This 76-nucleotide transfer RNA is filed under the name Clostridiaceae bacterium. RNAcentral describes it as "tRNA-Gly". It matches the Rfam family "tRNA". Rfam says of the family: Transfer RNA (tRNA) molecules are approximately 80 nucleotides in length. Their secondary structure includes four short double-helical elements and three loops (D, anti-codon, and T loops). Further hydrogen bonds mediate the characteristic L-shaped molecular structure. tRNAs have two regions of fundamental functional importance: the anti-codon, which is responsible for specific mRNA codon recognition, and the 3' end, to which the tRNAs corresponding amino acid is attached (by aminoacyl-tRNA synthetases). tRNAs cope with the degeneracy of the genetic code in two manners: having more than one tRNA (with a specific anti-codon) for a particular amino acid; and 'wobble' base-pairing, i.e. permitting non-standard base-pairing at the 3rd anti-codon position. RNAcentral also lists the same sequence under 1 other name. The record is from RNAcentral. Lineage: Bacteria; Bacillati; Bacillota; Clostridia; Eubacteriales; Clostridiaceae.
GCGGAAAUAGCUCAGUUGAUAGAGCGCUGCCUUGCCAAGGCAGAGGUCGCGGGUUUGAGCCCCGUUUUCCGCUCCA